This 453-nucleotide long non-coding RNA is filed under the name Vigna radiata. RNAcentral's name for it is "long non-coding RNA (VRAD_LNC006488)". Lineage: Eukaryota; Viridiplantae; Streptophyta; Magnoliopsida; Fabales; Fabaceae. The record is from RNAcentral.
GUGGGGUAGAUAUAGGUAUAGAAUACAUUAUGGUCAUUUGGUCAUGCAGUGAAGAGUUACAUGUUGUAGAAACGAGUUACAUGUUGCAGAAACAUGUGUGGUUGUUAAUAAAGGAGAGAGAAAAAUAUAUAUUUAAAUAUAAAGAGAAAUUCAAAGAAAGAAAGAAAAAGCUGUUAGUGUUCAGAGAAAUUCAGAGGAGGAGAAGAGAAAGAAAGAAAAAGUUAACUCCGUUAGUGAAUAUUUAACGGCAGGGACUAAUUUGAAACAUUUCUUAUAACUUAGAGAGUAAAGGUUGAUAUUUUUAAAAAUGGAAACUAAACUAAACAGUAGCUUAUAACUUAGGAACCGAAAAAAAGUUUAAACCAUUUAUAUAUCAUCAAACGAUAAAAUAUUUUGGAUAAAGAAGGAAACGUUUAGUUAAAAUAUUUUCAUUAAUGUUAUUUUUUUUAGCGA